This 377-nucleotide ribosomal RNA is filed under the name uncultured bacterium. RNAcentral's name for it is "bacterial SSU rRNA". It matches the Rfam family "Bacterial small subunit ribosomal RNA", at positions 29 to 433 of the family's 1533-position model. The record is from RNAcentral.
AGCGAACACUGGCGGCAGGCUUAACACAUGCAAGUCGAGCGCCCGGGCAACCGGGAGCGGCAGACGGGAGAGUAACACGUGGGAACGUGCCCUUCAGUUCGGAACAACCCAGGGAAACUUGGGCUAAUACCGGAUAAGCCCUUACGGGGAAAGAUUUAUCGCUGAAGGAUCGGCCCGCGUCUGAUUAGCUAGUUGGUGGGGUAAUGGCCCACCAAGGCGACGAUCAGUAGCUGGUCUGAGAGGAUGAUCAGCCUCACUGGGACUGAGACACGGCCCAGACUCCUACGGGAGGCAGCAGUGGGGAAUAUUGGACAAUGGGCGCAAGCCUGAUCCAGCCAUGCCGCGUGGGUGAUGAAGGCCCUAGGGUUGUAAAGCCC